RNAcentral lists this unclassified non-coding RNA (666 nucleotides) under Hevea brasiliensis (rubber tree). The record is from RNAcentral. Lineage: Eukaryota; Viridiplantae; Streptophyta; Magnoliopsida; Malpighiales; Euphorbiaceae.
GAGGUAAUUCCACCCUAGAACAAGAAGACACAUUAGCAAGUGUUUGCUAACUGACCAGUUAAGUCUCUUAUAUUUUGAAGAAGGGCUUGAGAAAGGAGGGAAAGGUUACGCCACAAUAUGAAAACAAAGGCCCAAGGAAGGGAAGAGUAUGUCAUUCCUUAGGAAGUCCGACAAUUUCUUCUAUGUCUAUUUCAUGGUAACCCAGCAUAAAGUAUAUAGGCAAUCUGACACAAGGUUGGCUUACUUUUGUGAAGCUAGUAAUGUGGUGCACGUCAUGGACUUAAAUAAUGGCUGUUACUUCACAGCUGUUAUUUAACAGAUUUUUUUUGGGUGUUUGUGUGUGGGAGAGAAGAAAGAGGGGGAGGGAAGCUGUUUUCGCCGGGGGAGGGGGCCGCCCUGUGGGAGAUGGUUGUUUACUGUUUAAUUAUCUAAUUUAAAUCUUCUUUUUCCUUUUUACAGCCACUACCACUAUAGAACUGCCAAACUCCCACUCCUAUGCAUACCCGAAUUUGCAGCCCUCAUGACCACCAUUUUCAGCUUUUCUUCAACUCAAUAAUUCAACAAUCUUACAGCUCGAAAUUAAUGCUUGAUUUCACUUAGUAAGGAGAAGCAAUAGAGCAUUUUCACACUUUCCUAAAAAUAGUUGGGUUAAUUUUGACCUUUUUU